AUUGAACGCUGGCGGCAUGCCUUACACAUGCAAGUCGAACGGUAACGCGGGGCAACCUGGCGACGAGUGGCGAACGGGUGAGUAAUGUAUCGGAACGUGCCCAGUUGUGGGGGAUAACUGCUCGAAAGAGCAGCUAAUACCGCAUACGACCUGAGGGUGAAAGCGGGGGAUCGCAAGACCUCGCACAAUUGGAGCGGCCGAUAUCAGAUUAGGUAGUUGGUGGGGUAAAGGCUCACCAAGCCGACGAUCUGUAGCUGGUCUGAGAGGACGACCAGCCACACUGGGACUGAGACACGGCCCAGACUCCUACGGGAGGCAGCAGUGGGGAAUUUUGGACAAUGGGCGCAAGCCUGAUCCAGCCAUGCCGCGUGCGGGAAGAAGGCCUUCGGGUUGUAAACCGCUUUUGUCAGGGAAGAAAAGGCUCCUGUUAAUACCGGGGGCUCAUGACGGUACCUGAAGAAUAAGCACCGGCUAACUACGUGCCAGCCGCCGCCGUAA
This 498-nucleotide ribosomal RNA is filed under the name uncultured bacterium. Its description in RNAcentral is "partial 16S ribosomal RNA". It matches the Rfam family "Bacterial small subunit ribosomal RNA", at positions 29 to 523 of the family's 1533-position model. The record is from RNAcentral.